UGAGGAAUAUUGGUCAAUGGGCGAGAGCCUGAACCAGCCAAAUCGCGUGAAGGAAGACUGCCUUAUGGGUUGUAAACUUCUUUUAUACAGGAAUAAAAAAGGGGACGUGUCCCUUAUUGCAUGUACUGUAUGAAUAAGCAUCGGCUAACUCCGUGCCAGCAGCCGCGGUAAUACGGAGGAUGCGAGCGUUAUCCGGAUUUAUUGGGUUUAAAGGGUGCGCAGGCGGGCUUUUAAGUCAGCGGUGAAAUCUCGGGGCUUAACUCCGAAACUGCCGUUGAAACUGGGAGUCUUGAGUAUGGAUGAAGUAGGCGGAAUUCGUUGUGUAGCGGUGACAUGCUUAGAUACAACGAGGAACUCCGAUUGCGUAGGCAGCUUACUAAGCCAUAACUGACGCUCAAGCACGAAAGCGUGGGGAUCAAAACAGGAUUAGAUACCCCUGGUAGUCCACGCCGUAAAACGAUGAUUACUAGUUGUAUGCGAUAUACCGUAUGUGACUAAGCGAAAGCGAUAAGUAAUCCACCUGGGGAGUACGCCGGCAACGGUGAAACUUAAAGGAAUUGAC
This 562-nucleotide ribosomal RNA is filed under the name uncultured bacterium. Its description in RNAcentral is "partial 16S ribosomal RNA". It matches the Rfam family "Bacterial small subunit ribosomal RNA", at positions 355 to 914 of the family's 1533-position model. The record is from RNAcentral.